AGAAUCAACGCUGGCGGCGUGCCUAACACAUGCAAGUCGAACGAGAAAGCGGGGGCAACUCCGUGAGUAAAGUGGCGUACGGGUGAGUAACACGUAGCUAACCUACCCUCGAGUGAGGAAUAACCUGGGGAAACUCGGGCUAAUACCCCAUAACAUCCGGGCUGUGCAAGCAGUCUGGAGCAAAGGCCCGCAAGGGCCGCUUGAGGAGGGGCUGCGGCCGAUUAGCUAGUUGGUGAGGUAACGGCCCACCAAGGCGAUGAUCGGUA
RNAcentral lists this ribosomal RNA (266 nucleotides) under uncultured bacterium. Its description in RNAcentral is "partial small subunit ribosomal RNA". It matches the Rfam family "Bacterial small subunit ribosomal RNA", at positions 26 to 285 of the family's 1533-position model. The record is from RNAcentral.